AUGGCGCCUCGUCAGCCCCCGGCCGUAGCUUGGUACUCGUCUGCCCUGGACCCGCCGAACGUGUCGGAGGCGAGCCUUGCCCGGUUGCGCCGGAUGGCGACGGCGCGGGGCAUCAAUGGGGCAAAGGUGUUCAAGGCCGGCUCCGCCACCCCUGAGGGUCAAGGGAGCACCUUCUAUCCGUUCUUCGUAAGUGCCAUUGUUGCUGGCCUAGUGCCUCCCUUCUCCGAGUUCUUCUUCUCUGUCCUCCGCCAUUAUAAGCUACAGGCUCUGCAUCUCCACCCCAACUCUGUCCUUCUCCUGGCAAUCUUCGCCUAUUACUGCGAGGCUCACGUAGGGGUGCAGCCCUCAGUGGCCUUGCUGCGCCACUACUUCUACCUCCGGACCUCUCGCGGUCCUGCUUCCGCGUGCGCGAGCUUCAUCACGUACGGUGGCGCCAUUGCCAUUUCGAACCCCGGGAAAAGGAUUGAGGGCUUCAGGAGCAAGUGGGUCUUGGUGGAUGCUGGGGAAGCUUCGCGUCAUCCGCCCCGCCUGGCUUGGCCCCUCGCGACGGUCUUGGGUUUGUGUUGGUGA
This 570-nucleotide ribosomal RNA is filed under the name Triticum aestivum (bread wheat). RNAcentral's name for it is "partial small subunit ribosomal RNA". Lineage: Eukaryota; Viridiplantae; Streptophyta; Magnoliopsida; Poales; Poaceae. The record is from RNAcentral.